GAUGAACGCUGGCGGCGUGCCUAAUACAUGCAAGUCGAGCGAACGGACGAGAAGCUUGCUUCUCUGAUGUUAGCGGCGGACGGGUGAGUAACACGUGGAUAACCUACCUAUAAGACUGGGAUAACUUCGGGAAACCGGAGCUAAUACCGGAUAAUAUUUUGAACCGCAUGGUUCAAAAGUGAAAGACGGUCUUGCUGUCACUUAUAGAUGGAUCCGCGCUGCAUUAGCUAGUUGGUAAGGUAACGGCUUACCAAGGCAACGAUGCAUAGCCGACCUGAGAGGGAGAUCGGCCACACUGGAACUGAGACACGGUCCAGACUCCUACGGGAGGCAGCAGUAGGGAAUCUUCCGCAAUGGGCGAAAGCCUGACGGAGCAACGCCGCGUGAGUGAUGAAGGUCUUCGGAUCGUAAAACUCUGUUAUUAGGGAAGAACAUAUGUGUAAGUAACUGUGCACAUCUUGACGGUACCUAAUCAGAAAGCCACGGCUAACUCCGUG
This 497-nucleotide ribosomal RNA is filed under the name uncultured bacterium. RNAcentral's name for it is "partial 16S ribosomal RNA". It matches the Rfam family "Bacterial small subunit ribosomal RNA", at positions 28 to 507 of the family's 1533-position model. The record is from RNAcentral.